Molecule: ribosomal RNA, 449 nt
Filed under: Daphnia galeata
Lineage: Eukaryota; Metazoa; Arthropoda; Branchiopoda; Diplostraca; Daphniidae
Description: partial 12S ribosomal RNA
Source: RNAcentral
GUCGCGGUUAGACGAAGAAUCCGUAUAGAAUGAAUGUUUACAUUAGUUAACGUUCAAUUUUUGAAGUUUCUCUAGCUUUUUUGUUGGGUGAAAUCAGUAUAAGAAGCUCUUUCUUCUUUAAAAAUUAGUAGGAACUAAAAAACUUUGAUUUAAAACCCAGGAUUAGAUACCCUGUUAUUCUCAGUUAUUCUUAAACAGGGUAGUAAAAGUUGUUCUUCAAACCCAAAGAUUUUGGCGGCACUUUAUCCAAAUAGAGGAGCUUGUCCCUUAAUCGAUAGUCCUCGUUUUAUCUUUCCUUCAUUUGUAAAGCUUGUAUACCGCCGUUGUCAGAUUACUUUUAGAGAAUGUUUUCAAGUUAAAAGACUUAUAACUUCAGGUCAAGGUGCAGUUUAUAUGGGGGUGGAGGUGAGCUACAGUUUUCUUUAGAAAUACGGAUUNUAAGCUUUGAA